Molecule: ribosomal RNA, 403 nt
Filed under: uncultured bacterium
Lineage: Bacteria
Description: bacterial SSU rRNA
Rfam family: Bacterial small subunit ribosomal RNA
Source: RNAcentral
GAUGAACGCUGGCGGCGCGCCUAACACAUGCAAGUCGAACGGCACCCCUCUCCGGAGGGAAGCGAGUGGCGAACGGCUGAGUAACACGUGGAGAACCUGCCCCCUCCCCCGGGAUAGCCGCCCGAAAGGACGGGUAAUACCGGAUACCCCGGGGUGCCGCAUGGCGCCCCGGCUAAAGCCCCGACGGGAGGGGAUGGCUCCGCGGCCCAUCAGGUAGACGGCGGGGUGACGGCCCACCGUGCCGACAACGGGUAGCCGGGUUGAGAGACCGACCGGCCAGAUUGGGACUGAGACACGGCCCAGACUCCUACGGGAGGCAGCAGUGGGGAAUCUUGCGCAAUGGGGGGAACCCUGACGCAGCGACGCCGCGUGCGGGACGGAGGCCUUCGGGUCGUAAACCGCU